This 495-nucleotide ribosomal RNA is filed under the name uncultured bacterium. Its description in RNAcentral is "partial 16S ribosomal RNA". It matches the Rfam family "Bacterial small subunit ribosomal RNA", at positions 28 to 507 of the family's 1533-position model. The record is from RNAcentral.
GACGAACGCUGGCGGCGUGCCUAAUACAUGCAAGUAGAACGCUGAAGGAGGAGCUUGCUUCUCUGGAUGAGUUGCGCACGGGUGAGUAACGCGUAGGUAACCUGCCUGGUAGCGGGGGAUAACUAUUGGAAACGAUAGCUAAUACCGCAUAAGAGUAGAUGUUGCAUGACAUUUGCUUAAAAGGUGCAAUUGCAUCACUACCAGAUGGACCUGCGUUGUAUUAGUUGGUUGGUGGGGUAACGGCUCACCAAGGCGACGAUACAUAGCCGACCUGGGAGGGUGAUCGGGCACACUGGGACUGAGACACGGCCCAGACUCCUACGGGAGGCAGCAGUAGGGAAUCUUCGGCAAUGGACGGAAGGCUGACCGAGCAACGCCGCGUGAGUGAAGAAGGUUUUCGGAUCGUAAAGCUCUGUUGUAAGAGAAGAACGAGUGUGAGAGUGGAAAGUUCACACUGUGACGGUAUCUGACCAGAAAGGGACGGCUAACUACGUG